AUUGAACGCUGGCGGCAUGCCUUACACAUGCAAGUCGAACGGCAGCACGGGUGCUUGCACCUGGUGGCGAGUGGCGAACGGGUGAGUAAUACAUCGGAACGUACCUUAUCGUGGGGGAUAACGCAGCGAAAGCUGUGCUAAUACCGCAUACGCCCUGAGGGGGAAAGCGGGGGAUCGAAAGACCUCGCGCGAUUAGAGAGGCCGAUGCCUGAUUAGCUUGUUGGUGGGGUAAAAGCCCACCAAGGCGACGAUCAGUAGCUGGUCUGAGAGGACGAUCAGCCACACUGGGACUGAGACACGGCCCAGACUCCUACGGGAGGCAGCAGUGGGGAAUUUUGGACAAUGGGGGCAACCCUGAUCCAGCAAUGCCGCGUGAGUGAAGAAGGCCCUCGGGUUGUAAAGCUCUUUUGUCAGGGAAGAAACACCGGCUCUAACACAGUCCAGGAAUGACGGUACCUGAAGAAUAAGCACCGGCUAACUACGUGCCAGCAGCCGCGGUAA
RNAcentral lists this ribosomal RNA (501 nucleotides) under uncultured bacterium. Its description in RNAcentral is "partial 16S ribosomal RNA". It matches the Rfam family "Bacterial small subunit ribosomal RNA", at positions 29 to 523 of the family's 1533-position model. The record is from RNAcentral.